Heterocephalus glaber (naked mole-rat) is the source of this 568-nucleotide non-coding RNA. Lineage: Eukaryota; Metazoa; Chordata; Mammalia; Rodentia; Bathyergidae. The record is from RefSeq and is a predicted model, not a curated record.
AUUCUGUGCUCCCAGCUGCCUCUUUUCUAGGCCGGGAUGUAGUCCUCUGUUGGGCAGAGGGUAGCGGUUCAGAGCCCUAGGACCCGCCCCAGGACCAGCAGUUCCCAGCUCGGCCGGAUCCGCCCGGGUGGCGCGUACCAAGGCUGCGACGCGGAGUCUCCAGGCCCGGCCAGAAUCCUGCUCAUACAGGUCCUGUCCACAGUCUGGAAGGAAGAUGGGGCCUGAGUCUUGGCCUCCUGUACCCAAAACUGUUCUGGGCACCAGGUCUGCGUGUUUGAGCCAACAGUGAACAACGUCUGUGUAUGGAGUAGGAUACGGCCUUCAACUACAGUUUUUAAACUGCUCUUGAAAAAUCCAGUGACUUCAAAACCUCCUGUGCCACUUACCGCUGUGUGAGAUCAGGAAAGUUACCUAACCUCUCUGUGCCCCAGUUCCCUGUACAAUGGAAAAAUACUAACAAUCACAAUGUUGUGGAGAUUAAAGAAGUCACAGGCGAUAUUUGCAACAGUUUAUUAUAAAGGACAUUACCAAGGAUACAGAUAGACAAUCACAUGGAGGAAAUGCACGG